RNAcentral lists this transfer RNA (72 nucleotides) under Dipodomys ordii (Ord's kangaroo rat). It matches the Rfam family "tRNA". From Rfam's summary of the family: Transfer RNA (tRNA) molecules are approximately 80 nucleotides in length. Their secondary structure includes four short double-helical elements and three loops (D, anti-codon, and T loops). Lineage: Eukaryota; Metazoa; Chordata; Mammalia; Rodentia; Heteromyidae. The record is from Rfam by way of RNAcentral.
UGGGUUUUGGCUUAGUGAUAGAGUGCUUGCCUAGCAUGCAUGAAGCCCUGGGUUCCAUUCUCAGUACCACAG